This 1094-nucleotide long non-coding RNA is filed under the name Durio zibethinus. RNAcentral's name for it is "long non-coding RNA (DZIB_LNC001819)". Lineage: Eukaryota; Viridiplantae; Streptophyta; Magnoliopsida; Malvales; Malvaceae. The record is from RNAcentral.
AAAAUCAAAUAAUGCAAAUAAACCAAAACUGAAAUUAACUAAUCAACAAACCAUGCAAAAUAAAUCAAACUUAUAUAACCUUAUUAACAUGAACUAAUUGCAAUUAAAUUAAUAUUAAACAAAAGAAUAAAAAUAAAAACCAAUAAAGCAAUCAAAAAUCAAAACUGAUUGUAACCCUAAACAACUAUCAAGCAGAUCAUGUAAUUUCAAUAAAACCAACUUAAACUGAAACCUAAUAUAUUUUAAAACUAUGCAAUUAACUUAAAUUAAUUUUUAAAUAUGCAAUUAAAUUAAAAUAAAUUAAAAUAGAGUUAAACCAAUACUACUAAACCCUAAAAUAAUAAAACUCUAAUCUCAUUUAAUUUCUUAAAACCCUAAUAUAAAAAUCCUAGACCAAAUUAAAUAAACCUUAAAAAUCAUAUGAAAAAGUAAUAACAAAAACUUAUUUAAAUUAAUCACCACUUAAACCAAAAGAAACACGCAAGACUUAAACAAAUAAAUCAUGCAAACUAAAAAAAAUAAGCUUAAACUAAAAUUAAAACCAAUCUUUAGCAAUAUAACUGAAAUCUUUAACCAAUGAUUAAACAUGCAAUUGAAUGAAUUAAACCAAAAUAGAACAAGAACUAAAUAAAUCUAAACAAAAUAAACAAGAAACCAAAAUCAAAUGUAAAUGUUGAACCUUGAAACCAAUAACACUAAACUAAAUUGAAACAAAACCAAAAUUUGAUUAAUUAAAAACUUAAAAAGAAUGUGCUUAAACUAAUCUUGAAAAUCAAAAAAUUAAAAGAACAAUAAAUCUUUAAAACAAAAACUUGAAAACUAAAGAAAGUUUAUGAAAACUUAGAAACAAGAACCUUAAAAAUCACUAAUAAGUUAGUCCGUCACUCCAACCUCUUAUAGCUGUUAUUCUAAGACUUAAUCAUGUAUUUAUAAGCACAAGUAUACCUUAGGUAGGUUCAGCCAUAAAAGGAAGUCAAGAGAACUUUGCAUAGUUUCAGUUGGACUUGAACUCUUCAAUUCAAGAUUGCCUCUUGUAGUUGAAUCCAAGUAGAACUCUUCAAAAAGAAAGCUUAUAAACUAUUCUUGACUUUUAG